Molecule: long non-coding RNA, 1733 nt
Filed under: Equus caballus (horse)
Lineage: Eukaryota; Metazoa; Chordata; Mammalia; Perissodactyla; Equidae
Description: lncRNA (ENSECAG00000038040.3)
Source: RNAcentral
ACUCAACAAAGAGUCUUUCAGACACCACACAAUUGGCCACACCCUAAGAGUCAGCCCUAUUUAGGGACCUGCAGCUGGAAGGUGGUUCUGUAUUUGAUCUCCCUGAAGGUGUGUCAAACUACAAAGAAAUGACAUUCUGACUCAGUUGGCUUUGCACUCAAUGGGGAGGAUGUGUUUGAUAAGUUCUUGUUUAUUUAGCUAAUGCUGCAUAAUCCAAUAAAGACCGGGUGCAAAGUACAGCAGAUGUACAAACUUCCUGCCUUUGAGGACAAAUACCAUGGUCUCUCAAUUAUCAAAGAUAAGAAAAUAAAGAGUACAGAUCAUUCCAGAAUGGCAUGACGAGGCAAGACAUCAUAGAAAAUGUCCUUUUACCUGGCCCUUGAAGAAGUGUAUUUUAAUAGUGAAUUGAAGGCAUGAGUUUUGACUGGUACUCCUUACCUAAUGAAACCGACAGAGCAGUCAUCUUCCUUUACAAGGUUGCUGAUCUGAGUGUUGAAGUAUCUACAGGGACAAGGAACGAGAACCAUACCAACACUUGGUGUUGCUGAGUACAAGACUAGCUGACUAUAGAGACUAGACUGGCUCAAAAAUGUGACUUGCUGGAAACUUGCCUGAGACAAUAGGAGUCAAUCAUCUUUCAAGUUCAAAGGAGGCCCUGGAACAGAGUCAAUCUUUGAAUAGAGAGAAGAGGAAGGUGCACGAGGAGUGGAAGGGGAAAGACUUGCUCGUCAAGGAAUAUGGAUGAUGAGAGAGAAGGAGGAAAUGAGUCUACUUAGACGUCAAGACAGGCAGCAGAAGAAAAUCAGAAAUGGAAUAAAUUCCAAAGGUAUUGGAACUCCAAAGGCUAACACCUGGAAGCCAUCACCUGCAGAUGCCCAGCCGCCACACACUGUACCCUGCACAGCGGUGUGGGUGCUAAUGGAGAGACCUUGAUCCACCAGUGCACAGUAGGGAAAAUAAACAUACACCUCUCUUUGAAGUAGAAUGGAGAGUGACUCCGUGAAGUCAAGGGGCAUUGUGAAAGAAUGCAAAGCAAAAGGUUUUUCACUAAAGUCUCAUGUAAAUAAAAGUGGUCCUGGGAGGAGAAAAAACAAUACACAGCUGAGAAGAAAUCAACUUUGGAAAGUUCUUUCAGUCAUUUAUCAUUAAAUAGUUAUUAAUAACCUACUACGUGGCAGGCCUGGUUCUGGCCUCUGUGGGACAAAGGAGUAAACAAAGCAGAUAGUUCUACAAGUGACAGCCUAAUUCUUGAAAGAGACAAUUAAAAAAAGAUUGCACAUAUAAAUAUAUAAUUACUACUUUGAUGUUUCAAUGAAAGAAAACUGCAGGGUUCUAUGACAAUGAAACUUUCAGCAAAAAUCCCAAGAAGACAGGAAAACCCUAAGGAGACAGCAAAAAGAUCACGUGAAGCAUCGUUCAUCUGACUUUUAGGAAGCAUCUUCAUCUGACUUUUAGAAACACAAGCAGAGCCAUAUUUUCAGAAUUUUUCAAUUUCCAAAAUACUAAUUAGAAACAGAAAAUAGCUAGUGUAAUGUAAAUAGAUUAUUGAAGAUAUAAUUUAUAGAUUUAAAUUUCCAAAAUUUCAGACUUAAUGAGAACACUCCGUAAUACAUAUGUCAGCUUUUAUACCAAGAAAUAAUAUGUCUCGUUUUGAUUAGUGUCGAAUCGACUGCACAGAAAUAGAGCUGUGAAUUGUCCUGAACUUGAUGACAAAAGAAGAGAAUAUAGACAAG